AGCGAACGUAUCACUUAAAGCGAUUCAGCGGGUUACGAUUGACGGAGCGAAGCGACGUCAAAGCGUAUACAAAGUCGAGUCGGUUUAAGGAUACGUUCGUUGGGUAGGGGAGCGUUCUGUAAGCCUGCGAAGGUGGCCUGUGAGGGUUGCUGGAGGUAUCAGAAGUGCGAAUGCUGACAUAAGUAACGAUAAAGCGGGUGAAAAGCCCGCUCGCCGGAAGACCAAGGGUUCCUGUCCAACGUUAAUCGGGGCAGG
RNAcentral lists this ribosomal RNA (255 nucleotides) under Salmonella enterica subsp. enterica serovar Anatum. RNAcentral's name for it is "partial 23S ribosomal RNA". It matches the Rfam family "Bacterial large subunit ribosomal RNA", at positions 1148 to 1378 of the family's 2925-position model. RNAcentral also lists the same sequence under 6 other names. Lineage: Bacteria; Pseudomonadati; Pseudomonadota; Gammaproteobacteria; Enterobacterales; Enterobacteriaceae. The record is from RNAcentral.